GGAGGGGGGCAUCUAAAAGGUCGAGAGACAGAGUAGCGAAGUGGAGAAGAGUUCGAUCGGCCUCGUCCCUCGCUCGUCGAUCCAUCGAUUCGCGAUUUCACUAUUUAGUGAUCGAUCGAUCGGUCCGUCUCCUUCGCUUUGGAUUACGUGUUCGACGAGACUUGCACGAACUUGAGCGUUUAUGAGCAUCACACGAAGGAUGUCAUCCAAGCGGCAGUCAAGGGAUUCGAUGUGGACUUGAUUGUUUGAAGCUUUCAACAAAUUGUGGGCAGAUCUCGAAGAGGCUGGUCUUGCUGUGAAGAAGGAAUCAUCUACAUCAAGACUACCAAGAUGACAGUGUGGUGGGGAGGUCAUAGAGCCACUCGUCGGUAAGCAGUGGUAUGUAGUCAUGGGGCCUUAGUGCACUGGAAAACGGGGAUAUAUCUAUCAUUCUUGAGAGGUUUGAAAAGGUACAUGUGCU
This is a long non-coding RNA of Nymphaea colorata (pocket water lily), 460 nucleotides long. RefSeq lists it as uncharacterized. The transcript has 4 exons. The record is from RefSeq and is a predicted model, not a curated record. NCBI's taxonomy places the organism in Eukaryota, Viridiplantae, Streptophyta, Magnoliopsida, Nymphaeales, Nymphaeaceae.